ACCUCCUCUUCUUCGCUCUCCUCCUGUACGGUGGGAGUCUGUGUGUUUUCCUGAAUGUUUGAGACGGCUUCUCCUUGCACUUUGAAUUUCUCGGCGGCUGCCAGCUGCGCCUGCUGGGACAGAUCUUCGAUCUGGGGGUUGGGAAAAGCACACGUCUAAACUCCAG
Dermochelys coriacea (leatherback sea turtle) is the source of this 166-nucleotide long non-coding RNA. RefSeq lists it as uncharacterized. The transcript is spliced from 3 exons. The record is from RefSeq and is a predicted model, not a curated record. NCBI's taxonomy places the organism in Eukaryota, Metazoa, Chordata, Testudines, Dermochelyidae.